CCCGGGACUGACGGGGAGGUAGCGCCAGGAGCCACAGCCGCUUUUUUGCUCCUGUAGCCUCCCCGGGCUUCCCGCACCCUGGGCCGGGACCCUGCCAGGUCCUGCCGCCCUCAGCGGCCUCGGGAGGCAAGCCGUGCUGCCCCCGGGGCUGGCCAGCUCCUUUCCCCCUUUUCCCUCGUAUAUCUUUUUUGGGUGCAGCCAAGAUAAAAAUAUUUUACCAAGAACACCUGAUCAAAAUCAAUACAACCUCAAUGGAAGUGGCUACUUUGACAUUUGAGAUGAAGAUGACCAAUGGAUCCAGAUUUUCAUGGAAAAGGGAGAUGUGAUAAUGCUUCCUGCUGGCAUAUAUCACCAAUUUAUACCUGAUGAAAAUGUUUGUGUAUAACUUUAUAUCUUACAUUCCCAUAAAACUGUUUUACCAAACAAGUGUAAAAAAUUAUAUUCUAGAUUAGUGACUAAAUGUAUUAGGAUUUGCAGUUUAUCAUCAAACUAUAUUACAGCAGAAAUGUGAGGAAUACUAACUGAUGCACUGAAUCUGAUUCUUGGAUUUCUGUCAGCAAUCUAGAUCCAGCUCAUCAGCAGAUAGUCGAACAUGCCCAUGUCUACUGCAGGUGUCAAUGAGGAGCCCCAGACUCACUGUAAGGGGUGGAGCAUUUCAUUUUCUCUAAGAAUCUGUAUAAGAUGAAUUAGCAAAUCUGAACCUUUACAAGCAAUUUUCCUAGUCCUACCCUGAUGCUUAGACCUGUGACUUUGUAACAAUGCAUUGCAGUGAUUUGCUCUUGAAGAGAGUAUUAAUAAAGUGAUUUUUCUAAUUUGAA
Alligator sinensis (Chinese alligator) is the source of this 818-nucleotide long non-coding RNA. RefSeq lists it as uncharacterized. The record is from RefSeq and is a predicted model, not a curated record. The transcript has 2 exons. Lineage: Eukaryota; Metazoa; Chordata; Crocodylia; Alligatoridae.